RNAcentral lists this long non-coding RNA (678 nucleotides) under Sus scrofa (pig). Its description in RNAcentral is "lncRNA (ENSSSCG00070016766.1)". Lineage: Eukaryota; Metazoa; Chordata; Mammalia; Artiodactyla; Suidae. The record is from RNAcentral.
GGUAUUUCUUCAGCCUGACGUUACAAGGAAGCCGAAAGCUGCUCUGAUGGGUGCUCAGAAUGUCCUUGUGUCUGAGGAUGGAUGGGCCUCCCCCUGUCUUUCAAGGAAGUUACUUUGUUCCAGUUGUCAAUGGUCACUGAUGUCAUGAAGAGCCAGGGAAGAGGUACAAGGAGGAGAAAGACUGUAGAGACGAGAGUCUGUUUGGAUGCUGAUGGAUGGCAGACUGUCGAUCCUUGAAGGAGUGAGGCAAUACUGAUGUGAUCAGCUCCCAACAAGUAGCUUCUAAGGCAUGGCUUGUAUGAUCAUGGACCCUAGCCAGUCUAUGAGAGCAAAGAGAAGCCGGGUGAGUGGAAAGGCAAAGAGUCACUUAUUUUUUUCGUUAAGAGGAAAGUAGAUAUUCCACAUGUAUGAUUUAUGAUUGUUUAUCAUGAAAGAUUCCUGACUUUGUGGGCCUCAUGCACAUCUCCAUUUUCUGGUUUGGGUUUAGAAAAAGCCAUAUAGCAAAUGUGGCAGAGUCACCGGGGGGGGGGGGGACUUAAAUGGUCAGACUUCCUUUGCCAGCCUUCAUAGGGCAAGGUAGGGUGCAGACUGGACAGGAAGCAGAGAGACCUCUGUUGCCUGUGUAGGAGCUCCUUCUUCAGGCCAGGUAUUAUGCUGGGUACUUUCCAUAUGUGGAAA